RNAcentral lists this ribosomal RNA (164 nucleotides) under Phacelia procera. RNAcentral describes it as "5.8S ribosomal RNA". It matches the Rfam family "5.8S ribosomal RNA". From Rfam's summary of the family: 5.8S ribosomal RNA (5.8S rRNA) is a component of the large subunit of the eukaryotic ribosome. It is transcribed by RNA polymerase I as part of the 45S precursor that also contains 18S and 28S rRNA. The record is from RNAcentral. Lineage: Eukaryota; Viridiplantae; Streptophyta; Magnoliopsida; Boraginales; Hydrophyllaceae.
ACUCUCGGCAACGGAUAUCUAGGCUCUCGCAUCGAUGAAGAACGUAGCGAAAUGCGAUACUUGGUGUGAAUUGCAGAAUCCCGUGAACCAUCGAGUUUUUGAACGCAAGUUGCGCCCAAAGCCGUUAGGCCGAGGGCACGUCUGCCUGGGCGUCACGCAUCGCG